Molecule: ribosomal RNA, 253 nt
Filed under: uncultured bacterium
Lineage: Bacteria
Description: partial 16S ribosomal RNA
Rfam family: Bacterial small subunit ribosomal RNA
Source: RNAcentral
UACGUAGGGGGCAAGCGUUGUCCGGAAUCAUUGGGCGUAAAGGGCUCGUAGGCGGCCAACUAAGUCGGACGUGAAAUCCCUCGGCUCAACCGGGGAACUGCGUCCGAUACUGGAUGGCUUGAGUUCGGGAGAGGGAUGCGGAAUUCCAGGUGUAGCGGUGAAAUGCGUAGAUAUCUGGAGGAACACCGGUGGCGAAGGCGGCGUCCUGGACCAACACUGACACUGAGGAGCGAAAGCCAGGGGAGCAAACGGG